CAGUACCGUGAGGGAAAGGCGAAAAGAACCCCGGCGAGGGGAGUGAAAAAGAACCUGAAACCGUGUACGUACAAGCAGUGGGAGCACGCUUAGGCGUGUGACUGCGUACCUUUUGUAUAAUGGGUCAGCGACUUAUAUUCUGUAGCAAGGUUAACCGAAUAGGGGAGCCGAAGGGAAACCGAGUCUUAACUGGGCGUUAAGUUGCAGGGUAUAGACCCGAAACCCGGUGAUCUAGCCAUGGGCAGGUUGAAGGUUGGGUAACACUAACUGGAGGACCGAACCGACUAAUGUUGAAAAAUUAGCGGAUGACUUGUGGCUGGGGGUGAAAGGCCAAUCAAACCGGGAGAUAGCUGGUUCUCCCCGAAAGCUAUUUAGGUAGCGCCUCGUGAAUUCAUCUCCGGGGGUAGAGCACUGUUUCGGCAAGGGGGUCAUCCCGACUUACCAACCCGAUGCAAACUGCGAAUACCGGAGAAUGUUAUCACGGGAGACACACGGCGGGUGCUAACGUCCGUCGUGAAGAGGGAAACAACCCAGACCGCCAGCUAAGGUCCCAAAGUCAUGGUUAAGUGGGAAACGAUGUGGGAAGGCCCAGACAGCCAGGAUGUUGGCUUAGAAGCAGCCAUCAUUUAAAGAAAGCGUAAUAGCUCACUGGUCGAGUCGGCCUGCGCGGAAGAUGUAACGGGGCUAAACCAUGCACCGAAGCUGCGGCAGCGACGCUGAUGCGUUGUUGGGUAGGGGAGCGUUCUGUAAGCCUGCGAAGGUGUACUGUGAGGUAUGCUGGAGGUAUCAGAAGUGCGAAUGCUGACAUAAGUAACGAUAAAGCGGGUGAAAAGCCCGCUCGCCGGAAGACCAAGGGUUCCUGUCCAACGUUAAUCGGGGCAGGGUGAGUCGACCCCUAAGGCGAGGCCGAAAGGCGUAGUCGAUGGGAAACAGGUUAAUAUUCCUGUACUUGGUGUUACUGCGAAGGGGGGACGGAGAAGGCUAUGUUGGCCGGGCGACGGUUGUCCCGGUUUAAGCGUGUAGGCUGGUUUUCCAGGCAAAUCCGGAAAAUCAAGGCUGAGGCGUGAUGACGAGGCACUACGGUGCUGAAGCAACAAAUGCCCUGCUUCCAGGAAAAGCCUCUAAGCAUCAGGUAACAUCAAAUCGUACCCCAAACCGACACAGGUGGUCAGGUAGAGAAUACCAAGGCGCUUGAGAGAUUCACUCGGGUGAAGGAACUAGGCAAAAUGGUGCCGUAACUUCGGGAGAAGGCACGCUGAUAUGUAGGUGAAGUCCCUUGCGGAUGGAGCUGAAAUCAGUCGAAGAUACCAGCUGGCUGCAACUGUUUAUUAAAAACACAGCACUGUGCAAACACGAAAGUGGACGUAUACGGUGUGACGCCUGCCCGGUGCCGGAAGGUUAAUUGAUGGGGUUAGCGGAACGCGAAGCUCUUGAUCGAAGCCCCGGUAAACGGCGGCCGUAACUAUAACGGUCCUAAGGUAGCGAAAUUCCUUGUCGGGUAAGUUCCGACCUGCACGAAUGGCGUAAUGAUGGCCAGGCUGUCUCCACCCGAGACUCAGUGAAAUUGAACUCGCUGUGAAGAUGCAGUGUACCCGCGGCAAGACGGAAAGACCCCGUGAACCUUUACUAUAGCUUGACACUGAACAUUGAGCCUUGAUGUGUAGGAUAGGUGGGAGGCUUGGAAGUGUGGACGCCAGUCUGCAUGGAGCCGACCUUGAAAUACCACCCUUUAAUGUUUGAUGUUCUAACGUUGACCCGUAAUCCGGGUUGCGGACAGUGUCUGGUGGGUAGUUUGACUGGGGCGGUCUCCUCCUAAAGAGUAACGGAGGAGCACGAAGGUUGGCUAAUCCUGGUCGGACAUCAGGAGGUUAGUGCAAUGGCAUAAGCCAGCUUGACUGCGAGCGUGACGGCGCGAGCAGGUGCGAAAGCAGGUCAUAGUGAUCCGGUGGUUCUGAAUGGAAGGGCCAUCGCUCAACGGAUAAAAGGUACUCCGGGGAUAACAGGCUGAUACCGCCCAAGAGUUCAUAUCGACGGCGGUGUUUGGCACCUCGAUGUCGGCUCAUCACAUCCUGGGGCUGAAGUAGGUCCCAAGGGUAUGGCUGUUCGCCAUUUAAAGUGGUACGCGAGCUGGGUUUAGAACGUCGUGAGACAGUUCGGUCCCUAUCUGCCGUGGGCGCUGGAGAACUGAGGGGGGCUGCUCCUAGUACGAGAGGACCGGAGUGGACGCAUCACUGGUGUUCGGGUUGUCAUGCCAAUGGCACUGCCCGGUAGCUAAAUGCGGAAGAGAUAAGUGCUGAAAGCAUCUAAGCACGAAACUUGCCCCGAGAUGAGUUCU
Molecule: ribosomal RNA, 2335 nt
Filed under: human gut metagenome
Description: bacterial LSU rRNA
Rfam family: Bacterial large subunit ribosomal RNA
Source: RNAcentral